GCCCCAGUAAACGGCGGCCGUAACUAUAACGGUCCUAAGGUAGCGAAAUUCCUUGUCGGGUAAGUUCCGACCCGCACGAAAGGCGUAAUGAUUUGGGCACUGUCUCAACGAGAGACUCGGUGAAAUUUUAGUACCUGUGAAGAUGCAGGUUACCCGCGACAGGACGGAAAGACCCCAUGGAGCUUUACUGCAGUUUGAUAUUGAGUAUCUGUACCACAUGUACAGGAUAGGUAGGAGCCAUUGACUUCGGGACGCCAGUUUCGAAUGAGGCGUUGUUGGGAUACUACCCUUGUGUUAUGGCUACUCUAACCCAGAUAGGUUAUCCCUAUCGGAGACAGUGUCUGACGGGCAGUUUGACUGGGGCGGUCGCCUCCUAAAGAGUAACGGAGGCGCCCAAAGGUUCCCUCAGAUUGGUUGGAAAUCAAUCGCAGAGUGUAAAGGUAUAAGGGAGCUUGACUGCGAGAGCUACAACUCGAGCAGGGACGAAAGUCGGGCUUAGUGAUCCGGUGGUACCGAAUGGAAGGGCCAUCGCUCAACGGAUAAAAGCUACCCUGGGGAUAACAGGCUUAUCUCCCCCAAGAGUUCACAUCGACGGGGAGGUUUGGCACCUCGAUGUCGGCUCGUCGCAUCCUGGGGCUGUAGU
This 643-nucleotide ribosomal RNA is filed under the name Lacticaseibacillus paracasei. RNAcentral describes it as "partial 23S ribosomal RNA". It matches the Rfam family "Bacterial large subunit ribosomal RNA", at positions 1917 to 2559 of the family's 2925-position model. The record is from RNAcentral. Lineage: Bacteria; Bacillati; Bacillota; Bacilli; Lactobacillales; Lactobacillaceae.